Long non-coding RNA from Motacilla alba alba, 631 nucleotides. RefSeq lists it as uncharacterized. Lineage: Eukaryota; Metazoa; Chordata; Aves; Passeriformes; Motacillidae. The transcript has 5 exons. The record is from RefSeq and is a predicted model, not a curated record.
UGGGCUCCAGCUGUAAAGGAGUGUGGAACAAUUAUAAAAACAACGAUAAAAACUCUUCCUCUGCUGGAUGCCUGAAGUGGUGUUGGAGGUGGCUGCAAACCCGUGCUCGGAAUCGGAGAAAAGCAGAGGGACCGUGGGGAAGAGUUUUCCAAAAAAAAUGUUUCCAUCUGAAUGAUAUGAACAAUUGUGAAAGCAAGACAAGAGCUACGGGUGGUACUUUCAGCCACAAAUACCUGCCAGAAGGACGUGAAAAAGCCCCCAUUGUUACCAGAAAAUUCCUGGCUCUUGAAGAGUGUGAAAAGUCAAGGACCAUAAAAAACUUGCUGGAAGCCUACGGGAGGAGCCUGUUUUGACCUCCCUCAUUUAUGGUGCCUGGGUUUAAUAGCUGUGCUGGGCAUCUUCAAUUGCUUUUUGAAAAGAAAGUUGGCUCAUCAUCUCAUGAACAGACUAAACCACUUGUUUCUUGACAAAAUAACAGGACAUGGAGACUUUCCCUCUCUCUUCAGUGUUUGCUGUAGCAUUGACCUGGGAUUCUCCCACACCAGGAACUUGGCUGACCAAGCAAACCAGAACAAUUUCCCUAAUUUAGUCAGUCUCCCCUUAUUUGAACAGCUUCUUUCCCUGCAGGCAG